AUUGAACGCUGGCGGCAGGCCUAACACAUGCAAGUCGAACGGCAGCACAGAAGAGCUUGCUCUUUGGGUGGCGAGUGGCGGACGGGUGAGUAAUGUCUGGGAAACUGCCCGAUGGAGGGGGAUAACUACUGGAAACGGUAGCUAAUACCGCAUAACGUCGCAAGACCAAAGUGGGGGACCUUCGGGCCUCACACCAUCGGAUGUGCCCAGAUGGGAUUAACUAGUAGGUGGGGUAAUGGCUCACCUAGGCGACGAUCCCUAGCUGGUCUGAGAGGAUGACCAGCCACACUGGAACUGUGACACGGUCCAGACUCCUACGGGAGGCAGCAGUGGGGAAUAUUGCACAAUGGGCGCAAGCCUGAUGCAGCCAUGCCGCGUGUAUGAAGAAGGCCUUCGGGUUGUAAAGUACUUUCAGCGGGGAGGAAGGCGGUGGAGUUAAUAACUUCACCGAUUGACGUUACCCGCAGAAGAAGCACCGGCUAACUCCGUGCCAGCCGCCGCAGUAA
Molecule: ribosomal RNA, 506 nt
Filed under: uncultured bacterium
Lineage: Bacteria
Description: partial 16S ribosomal RNA
Rfam family: Bacterial small subunit ribosomal RNA
Source: RNAcentral